CUUCAGUGAUGAUCGAUGACGAGUCAGAACAGGACUCAGUCUAGCUCUGCUGGUUCCUGGUUCAGACCCACGUUCUGUGGUUCGGCUCCAUUUCCUCAGAGCAAGCGAGUCCAUUUCAGUUGAAGACAUAGAGGCAUUUGUCUGAGAAGG
Small nucleolar RNA from Cynoglossus semilaevis (tongue sole), 150 nucleotides. Lineage: Eukaryota; Metazoa; Chordata; Actinopteri; Pleuronectiformes; Cynoglossidae. The record is from Ensembl.